RNAcentral lists this ribosomal RNA (441 nucleotides) under uncultured bacterium. RNAcentral describes it as "bacterial SSU rRNA". It matches the Rfam family "Bacterial small subunit ribosomal RNA", at positions 958 to 1397 of the family's 1533-position model. The record is from RNAcentral.
AACGCGAAGAACCUUACCUAGGCUUGACAUAUAGGAGACCGCAUCAGAGAUGAUGCUUUCCCGCAAGGGACUCUUAAACAGGUGCUGCAUGGCUGUCGUCAGCUCGUGCCGUGAGGUGUUGGGUUAAGUCCCGCAACGAGCGCAACCCUUGUCGUUAGUUGCCAGCGCGUAAAGGCGGGCACUCUAGCGAGACUGCCUCGGUUAACGAGGAGGAAGGUGAGGAUGACGUCAAGUCCGCAUGGCCCUUAUGCCUAGGGCUACACACGUACUACAAUGGUCGGUACAGAAGGCAGCAAAGCCGCGAGGUGGAGCAAAUCCCAAAAACCGGCCUCAGUUCAGAUUGUAGUCUGCAACUCGACUACAUGAAGAUGGAAUUGCUAGUAAUGGCAAGUCAGCAUGAUUGCCGUGAAUACGUUCCCGGGCCUUGUACACACCGCACGA